This 540-nucleotide ribosomal RNA is filed under the name Triticum aestivum (bread wheat). RNAcentral's name for it is "partial small subunit ribosomal RNA". The record is from RNAcentral. Lineage: Eukaryota; Viridiplantae; Streptophyta; Magnoliopsida; Poales; Poaceae.
AUGGCUGAUGCAACGCUGGCAGGGGGUCAACACGCCGCUUCCUUUCUGCAUUGUCAUGGCAGCCUGGCUGCGGAGAAGAUGAUGUUCCGUGGACGUGUUCGUGCCCGUUGCCAUCAUCGCCAUGAAUGCGACGAUUUAGAGCUCGCAAAGGGACGACGACUCGCAGCUUUGAUUUCCGCAAGGAGCCAGCGGCUGAGGGAGGGUCAGGCUUCAGUCAUCCAGAUCAAAUUAAUGGAGUUCAACCACUUUGAAAAAGGAGAUGCUUUACAUUCAAUGGACUUGGCUCUAGCUCUUGAAAAGCUGGUGAGUGAGAAGUUCACAACCUGCACACCUGGGUUUACAAAGUGGUAUGUACGGUGCACAUGCCUCCAAAGUUUGAAUCUUCUUCGGAAGUUGCAAUGGAUGAUGUUAUCAACAACUAAAGCAAUGUAUAUUCCAUCACAAUGCACGGGCACCUAUAGUCAAGAGGAGGCACUUGUAGAUAAAGUGAUAGGGGGUAGCAAGUAUGAGCAUGAUCUAACAAUGGACCAAUGUUGUUAG